GGGUGAGUCGGGUCCUAAGGCGAGGCCGACAGGCGUAGUCGAAUGGAUGAACGGGUGGAUAUUCCCGUACCGACCAUGGACCGGCAAAACCGAGACGGUGAGUACUAACCUCCGCCUCGUGGUGGUUCCUUCCUUCGGGUUGGUUCCGCCGCGUGGUGUUGGGACUGUAGCCGCAGUAGGUCAGCGCAGGGGUGACACGGAAUGGGAGCCGGCCGCGGAGGUGGUUUUCCGUGGUCAAGCACGCAGCCAGUCAUGUAGGCAAAUCCGCAUGGCGCGCAUGGCGAGGUGUGAUGAUGGGAGCCGUUAUGGCUCGAUAUCCGGUUGUCCAGGCCGUCGAGAAAAGCCUCGGCGUGAGGGCCAUGGCCGCCCGUACCCCAAACCGACACUGGUGGUCAGGUAGAGAAUACCAAGGCGAUCGAGCGAAUCCUGGUCAAGGAACUCGGCAAAUCACUCCCGUGCCUUCGGUAUAAGGGAGACCCACUGGGGUGAAGGACCUUGCGUCCGGAGCUUUGGUGGGUGGCACAGACCAGGGGGUAGCGACUGUUUACCAAAAACACAGGUGCAUGCGAAGGCGAAAGCCGCUGUAUAUGCACUGACGCCUGCCCGGUGCCGGAAGGUUAAGAGGAUCCGUCAACUCUUCGGAGCGAAGCGGUGAAUUCAAGCCCCGGUAAACGGCGGUGGUAACUAUAACCAUCCUAAGGUAGCGAAAUUCCUUGUCGGGUAAGUUCCGACCUGCACGAAUGGCGUAACGACUUCCCCACUGUCUCGACCAGGAGCUCGGCGAAAUUGCAGUACGAGUAAAGAUGCUCGUUAAGCGCAGAAGGACGAAAAGACCCCGGGACCUUUACUAUACCUUGGUAUUGGCGUUAGGCGCGGAUUGUGUAGCAUAGGCGGGAGGCUUCGAAGCGUGGGCGCCAGCUCAUGUGGAGCCGCAAGGUGAAAUACCGCUCUGUUCUCGUUUGACGUCUAACCUCGACAAGUCAUCCUUGUCAGGGACAGUGCCUGGCGGGUAGUUCAACUGGGGCGGUUGCCUCCCAAAGAGUAACGGAGGCGCUCAAAGGUCCGCUCAGCCCGGUUGGCAAUCGGGUGUCGAGUGUAAUCGCACAAGCGGGCUUGACUGCGAGGACGACGGUCCGAGCAGGGACGAAAGUCGGAGAUAGUGAUCCGGUGCCGGCGCACGGGCGCGGCAUCGCUCAACGGAUAAAAGGUACCCCGGGGAUAACAGGCUGAUCAUUCCCAAGAGUCCAUAUCGACGGGAUGGUUUGGCACCUCGAUGUCGGCUCGUCGCAUCCUGGGGCUGGAGCAGGUCCCAAGGGUUCGGCUGUUCGCCGAUUAAAGCGGCACGCGAGCUGGGUUCAGAACGUCGUGAGACAGUUUGGUCUCUAUCCUCUGCGCUCGUUGGAAUCCUGAGGAGGCCUGCCCAUAGUACGAGAGGACCUGGGUGGACGAACCUCUGGUAUGCCGGUUGUCGCGCCAGCGGCACGGCCGGUUGGCUACGUUCGGGAGGGAUAACCGCUGAAAGCAUCUAAGCGGGAAGCCUGCUCCAAGAUUAGGAUUCCAUGGAUCUUCGAGAUCCUGUAGCCCGCAUGUUGAACACGUGUUUGAUAGGCCGGAGGUGGAAGUCCCGUGAGGGGUGGAGCCGACCGGUACUAACGGGCGACGGCGACACAA
Molecule: ribosomal RNA, 1671 nt
Filed under: human gut metagenome
Description: bacterial LSU rRNA
Rfam family: Bacterial large subunit ribosomal RNA
Source: RNAcentral